This 478-nucleotide ribosomal RNA is filed under the name uncultured bacterium. RNAcentral's name for it is "partial 16S ribosomal RNA". It matches the Rfam family "Bacterial small subunit ribosomal RNA", at positions 28 to 523 of the family's 1533-position model. The record is from RNAcentral.
GACGAACGCUGGCGGCGUGCUUAACACAUGCAAGUCGAACGGUAAGGCCCUUCGGGGUACACGAGUGGCGAACGGGUGAGUAACACGUGGGUGAUCUGCCCUGCACUUCGGGAUAAGCCUGGGAAACUGGGUCUAAUACCGGAUAGGACCACUGCCUGCAUGGGUGGUGGUGGAGAGCUUUUGCGGUGUGGGAUGGGCCCGCGGCCUAUCAGCUUGUUGGUGGGGUGAUGGCCUACCAAGGCGACGACGGGUAGCCGGCCUGAGAGGGCGACCGGCCACACUGGGACUGAGCUACGGCCCAGACUCCUACGGGAGGCAGCAGUGGGGAAUAUUGCACAAUGGGCGCAAGCCUGAUGCAGCGACGCCGCGUGAGGGAUGACGGCCUUCGGGUUGUAAACCUCUUUCAGCACCGACGAAGCGCAAGUGACGGUAGGUGCAGAAGAAGGACCGGCCAACUACGUGCCAGCCGCCGCGGUAA